GCCCUAAUAGUUCAGUGUUAGAACAUCGGUUUUGUAAUCCGAAAGUCGGAGGUUAAAAUCCCCCUUAGUGCU
Molecule: transfer RNA, 72 nt
Filed under: Ateleopus japonicus (Pacific jellynose fish)
Lineage: Eukaryota; Metazoa; Chordata; Actinopteri; Ateleopodiformes; Ateleopodidae
Description: tRNA-Thr
Rfam family: tRNA
About the family: Transfer RNA (tRNA) molecules are approximately 80 nucleotides in length. Their secondary structure includes four short double-helical elements and three loops (D, anti-codon, and T loops).
Source: RNAcentral